This 778-nucleotide long non-coding RNA is filed under the name Chinchilla lanigera (long-tailed chinchilla). RNAcentral describes it as "lncRNA (ENSCLAG00000024654.1)". Lineage: Eukaryota; Metazoa; Chordata; Mammalia; Rodentia; Chinchillidae. The record is from RNAcentral.
AAAAUAUUAUGUUAUUGCAUGUGUUUCUCCUUAGUAAAAGACAAGAGUCAUAAGUAUACCUUUUUAGUCAGUCAGUCCAUGUGUAAUGUGUGAGUAGGGGAGAGGUAUGAAGGAGGACAAGGAAAGUAAAAAGGGAGAGAGAGAAGAGGAAAAGAGGAAGAUGGAGGAGGGAGAGAGACAGACAGACAAACUGAGUGACUGACUGACUCUGUACUUUGACAUCUGAGUACUGUAUCCUAAUGACAUCCACUAGUAUGAACCUACUUACAGGAAUGUAGAAAUGUCCCUUUCAAAAGAGUCAUGCUUUGUGUUCACACUCCAAGAAACAAUUUAUCUUGGGACUAUGUAUACUUACAUCUUGAUUCCUUUCAGUAUUCAAGUUCAUCUUAGAAGAAGUCAGUUAUUACCUGGCCCCAUGCUGCAUGGCUGUGAGAGACAUAGACUGAUGAAUCAGAUAGUAAACAAAGAAGAAGUACAACAGUCUGCUCAAAGUGCCAGUGCAGUGACAAUGCCUCAUCUUGGUGAAGGUCAUGGAUUCCGAAGGAGCCCGCAGAGUGCGUGGGUCAAGUCCCACCUUUUGCCUCUAUUUGCUGUGGGAACUUGGAGAAGUUCUGUAUCCUUUUCGUGUUUUUAUUUCAUCAUCUGUAAAAUGGGAACAGUAGUACCUCAUGUUGUUAUGGGAUUAAGUGAGUUAAAAAUGUUAAAGUCUUUUACAGUGUUGGUAUUUAGUAAUUGCAUGAUUUUGGCUAUUACAAUUACCUUUAUGACUAAGUAUUAA